GCGGCGGACGGGUGAGUAAUGCCUAGGAAUCUGCCUAGUAGUGGGGGAUAACUUGCCGAAAGGUAAGCUAAUACCGCAUACGUCCUACGGGAGAAAGCAGGGGACUCAUCGGAGCCUUGCGCUAUUAGAUGAGCCUAGGUCGGAUUAGUUAGUUGGUGAGGUAAUGGCUCACCAAGACUGCGAUCCGUAACUGGUCUGAGAGGAUGAUCAGUCACACUGGAACUGAGACACGGUCCAGACUCCUACGGGAGGCAGCAGUGGGGAAUAUUGGACAAUGGGGGCAACCCUGAUCCAGCCAUGCCGCGUGUGUGAAGAAGGUCUUAGGAUUGUAAAGCACUUUAAGUUGGGAGGAAGGGCAGUUAACUAAUACUUGACUGUUUUGACGUUACCGACAGAAUAAGCACCGGCUAACUUCGUGCCAGCAGCCGCGGUAAUACGAAGGGUGCAAGCGUUAAUCGGAAUUACUGGGCGUAAAGCGCGCGUAGGUGGUUCGUUAAGUUAGGAGUGAAAGCCCCGG
This 517-nucleotide ribosomal RNA is filed under the name uncultured bacterium. RNAcentral describes it as "bacterial SSU rRNA". It matches the Rfam family "Bacterial small subunit ribosomal RNA", at positions 95 to 606 of the family's 1533-position model. The record is from RNAcentral.